RNAcentral lists this unclassified non-coding RNA (214 nucleotides) under Glomeraceae sp. RNAcentral's name for it is "partial contains 5.8S ribosomal RNA and internal transcribed spacer 2". The stretch from base 1 to 65 matches the Rfam family "5.8S ribosomal RNA", at positions 84 to 154 of the family's 154-position model. The record is from RNAcentral. Lineage: Eukaryota; Fungi; Glomeromycota; Glomeromycetes; Glomerales; Glomeraceae.
GUGAAUCAUCGAAUCUUUGAACGCAAAUUGCACUCUCUCCGGAGAGUAUGCCUGUUUGAGGGUCAGUAUUAAUAAAAAUCGGUGUGUUGCUUCUUUGUGACGCUCCGGAGUUUGGGUCAUCUUAAUACCCUUUAGGUUUUAAGAGGCUUAAAAUUGACUUUUUUGGCGCUUUUUAGUGUUCCUAAAUUCUUUUUUUUUUUUCUUUUGUUUUAUU